Molecule: non-coding RNA, 85 nt
Organism: Ataeniobius toweri
Lineage: Eukaryota; Metazoa; Chordata; Actinopteri; Cyprinodontiformes; Goodeidae
Source: the annotation of a GenBank genome assembly
GCCGCCGAUGGUGUAGGGGUUAAGCACGCAGAGGCUACAGUCCUCGAAGUGGCUGUCCCGGGUUCGAGUCCCGGACCCGGCGACA